GACCAUGUUGAGAAAUGAGGCUUAGAUUUAAGAAAUGGGGUGUGUACUUGGUAGAGAGGUAGCCUCUGGCAUAGUUUCAGAGUCUAAAGAGGUAAAGAACCUGAGAAUUGAAUCCAGAAGAAAAUUAGACAUUGUUUCAGUGACAAAGACUGACACUAGUAGUAUUGUUGAGAUUCAAAAUGAGACUCAGAAGGAGGAGAAAGUGGAGAGGGAUCAAAAACCUAGAGGGGAGAGAAGAAGGUCUAGGCCAAACCCUAGGUUGAGUAAUCCACCCAAGCAUUUGCAGGGUGAGCAGGUGGCAGCUGGAUGGCCA
This 313-nucleotide unclassified non-coding RNA is filed under the name Hevea brasiliensis (rubber tree). The record is from RNAcentral. Lineage: Eukaryota; Viridiplantae; Streptophyta; Magnoliopsida; Malpighiales; Euphorbiaceae.